RNAcentral lists this ribosomal RNA (604 nucleotides) under uncultured bacterium. RNAcentral describes it as "bacterial SSU rRNA". It matches the Rfam family "Bacterial small subunit ribosomal RNA", at positions 505 to 1098 of the family's 1533-position model. The record is from RNAcentral.
GUGCCCCUUGCCGCGGUAAUACGUAGGGGGCGAGCGUUGCUCGGAUUUACUGGGUGUAAAGAGCGCGUAGGCGGCCAGGUAAGUCCGUUGUGAAAGCCCUCGGCUCAACCGAGGAUCCGCAUCGGAAACUACUUGGCUUGAGUCCAGGAGAGGAGGGUGGAAUUCCCGGUGGAGGGGUGAAAUGCGUAGAUAUCGGGAGGAACACCGGUGGCGAAGGCGGCCCUCUGGAAUGGUACUGACGCUGAGGCGCGAAAGCUGGGGGAGCGAACGGGAUUAGAUACCCCGGUAGUCCCAGCCGUAAACGAUGGGCACUAGGUGUGGGAGGUAUUGACCCCUUCCGUGCCGCAGCUAACGCAUUAAGUGCCCCGCCUGGGGAGUACGGCCGCAAGGUUGAAACUCAAAGGAAUUGACGGGGGCCCGCACAAGCGGUGGAGCAUGUGGUUUAAUUCGACGCACGCGAAGAACCUUACCAGGGCUUGGACAUGCCGGUAGUACCAACCUGAAAGGGAAAGGAUCCCGCAAGGGAAGCCGGGCACAGGUGGUGCAAUGGCUGUCGUCAGCUCGUGUCCGUGAGAUGUUUGGGGUUAAGUCCCCGCAACGAGCG